GAUGAACGCUGGCGGCGUGCCUAAUACAUGCAAGUCGAGCGAACAGACGAGGAGCUUGCUCCUCUGACGUUAGCGGCGGACGGGUGAGUAACACGUGGAUAACCUACCUAUAAGACUGGGAUAACUUCGGGAAACCGGAGCUAAUACCGGAAAAUAUAUUGAACCGCAUGGUUCCAUAGUGAAAGACGGUUUUGCUGUCACUUAUAGAUGGAUCCGCGCCGCAUUAGCUAGUUGGUAAGGUAACGGCUUACCAAGGCAACGAUGCGUAGCCGACCUGAGAGGGUGAACGGCCACACUGGAACUGAGACACGGUCCAGACUCCUACGGGAGGCAGCAGUAGGGAAUCUUCCGCAAUGGGCGAAAGCCUGACGGAGCAACGCCGCGUGAGUGAUGAAGGUCUUCGGAUCGUAAAACUCUGUUAUUAGGGAAGAACAAAUGUGUAAGUAACUAUGCACGUCUUGACGGUACCUAAUCAGAAAGCCACGGCUAACUACGUG
Molecule: ribosomal RNA, 497 nt
Filed under: uncultured bacterium
Lineage: Bacteria
Description: partial 16S ribosomal RNA
Rfam family: Bacterial small subunit ribosomal RNA
Source: RNAcentral